RNAcentral lists this unclassified non-coding RNA (234 nucleotides) under plant metagenome. RNAcentral's name for it is "partial contains small subunit ribosomal RNA, internal transcribed spacer 1, and 5.8S ribosomal RNA". The record is from RNAcentral.
UUUCCGUAGGUGAACCUGCGGAAGGAUCAUUAAAGUUAUAGUCCCCCGGCCCUCUGGGCUGGGGUCUUCUAUACCACCCUUUGUUUAUUACACCUUUGUUGCUUUGGCAGGCCUGCCCUCGGGCUGCUGGCUCCGGCCGGCUCGCGUCUGCCAGAGGACCUGAACUCUGUUUGUAUAUGAAGUCUGAGUACUAUAUAAUAGUUAAAACUUUCAACAACGGAUCUCUUGGUUCUG